This 225-nucleotide ribosomal RNA is filed under the name uncultured Methylibium sp. Its description in RNAcentral is "partial 16S ribosomal RNA". It matches the Rfam family "Bacterial small subunit ribosomal RNA", at positions 568 to 792 of the family's 1533-position model. Lineage: Bacteria; Pseudomonadati; Pseudomonadota; Betaproteobacteria; Burkholderiales; Sphaerotilaceae. The record is from RNAcentral.
CAUGUAGGCGGCUUUGCAAGACAGAUGUGAAAUCCCCGGGCUCAACCUGGGAACUGCAUUUGUGACUGCAUGGCUGGAGUGCGGCAGAGGGGGAUGGAAUUCCGCGUGUAGCAGUGAAAUGCGUAGAUAUGCGGAGGAACACCGAUGGCGAAGGCAAUCCCCUGGGCCUGCACUGACGCUCAUGCACGAAAGCGUGGGGAUCAAACAGGAUUAGAUACCCGUGUA